Molecule: ribosomal RNA, 406 nt
Filed under: uncultured bacterium
Lineage: Bacteria
Description: partial 16S ribosomal RNA
Rfam family: Bacterial small subunit ribosomal RNA
Source: RNAcentral
AUUGAACGCUGGCGGCAGGCCUAACACAUGCAAGUCGAACGAGUGGCGGACGGGUGAGUAAUGCUUGGGAAACUGCCUGAUGGAGGGGGAUAACUACUGGAAACGGUCGCUAAUACCGCAUACCAUAAGAUGUGCCCAGAUGGGAUUAGGUUGUUGGUGGGGUAACGGCUCACCAAGCCGACGAUCCCUAGCUGGUCUGAGAGGAUGACCAGCCACACUGGCACUGAGACACGGUCCGGACUCCUACGGGAGGCAGCAGUGGGGAAUAUUGCGCAAUGGGCGCAAGCCUGACGCAGCCAUGCCGCGUGAAUGAAGAAGGCCUUCGGGUUGUAAAGUACUUUCGGCGAGGAGGCGUUACCCACAGAAGAAGCACCGGCUAACUCCGUGCCAGCCGCCGCGGUAAUAC